RNAcentral lists this ribosomal RNA (465 nucleotides) under uncultured bacterium. RNAcentral's name for it is "partial 16S ribosomal RNA". It matches the Rfam family "Bacterial small subunit ribosomal RNA", at positions 28 to 507 of the family's 1533-position model. The record is from RNAcentral.
GACGAACGCUGGCGGCGUGCUUAACACAUGCAAGUCGAACGGAAAGGCCCUGCUUGCAGGGUACUCGAGUGGCGAACGGGUGAGUAACACGUGGGUGAUCUGCCCUGCAUUUCGGGAUAAGCCUGGGAAACUGGGUUUAUUACCGGUACGGCGCCAUUUUUAGUGUGAUGGUUGGAAAGUUUUUUCGGUGUAGGAUGAGCUGGCGGCCUAUCAGCUUGUUGGUGGGGUAAUGGCCUACCAAGGCGGCGACGGGUAGCCGGCCUGAGAGGGUGAACGGCCAUAUAGGGACUGAGAUACGGCCGAGACGCCUACGGGAGGCAGAAGUGGGGAAUAUUGCACAAUGCGCGCAAGCUGGAUGCAGCGACGCCGCGUGGGGGAUGACGGUCUUCGGGUUGUGAACUGCUUGCGAGAGGGACGAAGCUUGUUGUGACGGUACCAAGAUAAGAAGCACCGGCUAACUACGUG